UCCCUCUUAGCUCAGUGGUAGAGCGCGUCACUUGUAUCCUUUAAUGACGAGGUCAGUCGUUCAAUCCGGCUAGGGGGAA
Molecule: non-coding RNA, 79 nt
Organism: Termitomyces sp. T159_Od127
Lineage: Eukaryota; Fungi; Basidiomycota; Agaricomycetes; Agaricales; Lyophyllaceae
Source: the annotation of a GenBank genome assembly